GCGGCCUAUCAGCUUGUUGGUGAGGUAAAGGCUCACCAAGGCGACGACGGGUAGCCGGCCUGAGAGGGCGACCGGCCACACUGGGACUGAGACACGGCCCAGACUCCUACGGGAGGCAGCAGUAGGGAAUAUUGGGCAAUGGGCGAAAGCCUGACCCAGCGACGCCGCGUGAGGGAUGAAGGUCUUCGGAUUGUAAACCUCUUUCAGUAGGGAAGAAGCGAAAGUGACGGUACCUAAAGAAGAAGCGCCCGGCUAACUAUGUGCCAGCAGCCGCGGUAAUACAGAGGUNCCCGAGCGUUGUUCGGAAUUAUUGGGCGUAAA
RNAcentral lists this ribosomal RNA (321 nucleotides) under uncultured Actinomycetes bacterium. RNAcentral describes it as "bacterial SSU rRNA". It matches the Rfam family "Bacterial small subunit ribosomal RNA", at positions 233 to 564 of the family's 1533-position model. Lineage: Bacteria; Bacillati; Actinomycetota; Actinomycetes. The record is from RNAcentral.